AAAAGAUCAUUCACAAAAGUACUCUCUUGCAAAACCUCUUCUUCUGAUUCAUCUUCCCAUCUCCCCUCUUCACAGUAGAGUGCAUCUAGCAGGAAUGAAGCGUUUUGUUCUUGUUGUGAGUUUAAUUCAUUUUGUUCCAGUUCUUGUUGUUUUGGUAUCGCCAUCUUCCUCCAAGAAGAAGAGGUUUUGGUACACUAUUCAAUACACAAAUAAGAACCCAUUGUCCCUCUCCCCCUCUCUCUUCUUUUUCUCGAGGGUCUUUUUUCUCUGUGGUGGUGCAAGAUAGAGAGAGUGGCAGCCAGGGAGUGAAGAGAG
This 315-nucleotide long non-coding RNA is filed under the name Populus trichocarpa (black cottonwood). RNAcentral's name for it is "long non-coding RNA (PTRI_LNC000302)". The record is from RNAcentral. Lineage: Eukaryota; Viridiplantae; Streptophyta; Magnoliopsida; Malpighiales; Salicaceae.